Molecule: ribosomal RNA, 253 nt
Filed under: uncultured bacterium
Lineage: Bacteria
Description: partial 16S ribosomal RNA
Rfam family: Bacterial small subunit ribosomal RNA
Source: RNAcentral
UACGUAGGGUGCAAGCGUUGUCCGGAAUUAUUGGGCGUAAAGAGCUCGUAGGCGGCCUGUCACGUCGGCUGUGAAAACCCGGGGCUCAACCCCGGGCCUGCAGUCGAUACGGGCAGACUAGAGUGUGGUAGGGGAGACUGGAAUUCCUGGUGUAGCGGUGAAAUGCGCAGAUAUCAGGAGGAACACCGGUGGCGAAGGCGGGUCUCUGGGCCGUAACUGACGCUGAGGAGCGAAAGCGUGGGGAGCGAACAGG